Molecule: ribosomal RNA, 791 nt
Filed under: Bacillus subtilis
Lineage: Bacteria; Bacillati; Bacillota; Bacilli; Caryophanales; Bacillaceae
Description: bacterial SSU rRNA
Rfam family: Bacterial small subunit ribosomal RNA
Source: RNAcentral
UGCAAGUCGAGCGGACAGAUGGGAGCUUGCUCCCUGAUGUUAGCGGCGGACGGGUGAGUAACACGUGGGUAACCUGCCUGUAAGACUGGGAUAACUCCGGGAAACCGGGGCUAAUACCGGAUGGUUGUUUGAACCGCAUGGUUCAAACAUAAAAGGUGGCUUCGGCUACCACUUACAGAUGGACCCGCGGCGCAUUAGCUAGUUGGUGAGGUAACGGCUCACCAAGGCAACGAUGCGUAGCCGACCUGAGAGGGUGAUCGGCCACACUGGGACUGAGACACGGCCCAGACUCCUACGGGAGGCAGCAGUAGGGAAUCUUCCGCAAUGGACGAAAGUCUGACGGAGCAACGCCGCGUGAGUGAUGAAGGUUUUCGGAUCGUAAAGCUCUGUUGUUAGGGAAGAACAAGUACCGUUCGAAUAGGGCGGUACCUUGACGGUACCUAACCAGAAAGCCACGGCUAACUACGUGCCAGCAGCCGCGGUAAUACGUAGGUGGCAAGCGUUGUCCGGAAUUAUUGGGCGUAAAGGGCUCGCAGGCGGUUUCUUAAGUCUGAUGUGAAAGCCCCCGGCUCAACCGGGGAGGGUCAUUGGAAACUGGGGAACUUGAGUGCAGAAGAGGAGAGUGGAAUUCCACGUGUAGCGGUGAAAUGCGUAGAGAUGUGGAGGAACACCAGUGGCGAAGGCGACUCUCUGGUCUGUAACUGACGCUGAGGAGCGAAAGCGUGGGGAGCGAACAGGAUUAGAUACGCUGGUAGUCCACGCCGUAAACGAUGAGUGCUAAGUGUUAGGAG